This 3612-nucleotide ribosomal RNA is filed under the name Triticum aestivum (bread wheat). RNAcentral's name for it is "partial small subunit ribosomal RNA". Lineage: Eukaryota; Viridiplantae; Streptophyta; Magnoliopsida; Poales; Poaceae. The record is from RNAcentral.
AUGGGUGUGGCAGGAUACUACGACAUGAAACUGAUAUGGGAACAGCAGGACAAAGAAGCAGUAGCGGUGGGUGGGAGUCCGGCCUUUAGUGAAAUCAAGGGCGAAUGCACCAGAGAUUACUUGCGGGCACGUGCAAAGAGGCGUGAUGACGGAACUUAUUACUUUGAAAACGCACGUGACGCCAAACUGUAUGAAGUGAUGGUAGAGGCUUCCAAGAUCCCUGGAAGGUUCUACAGGAACUCAGGGCCAUGUGACAUUCUGUCCAUUGCUCUAGAGACAAAAGAGCCCCCUGGCCGUGCAAGGGGUAUAGGUGUUAAUGUCCCGCACAAGAGGGCUUUCACACUCAGCAAAGAAGAGAGGCUCAGCACGAAAAAAGCGAGGAGUGAAAUGAAGCAGAAUGCAUUGUUUGAAAAGUUGAAGAAGGAGAUAUAUCCGGCAGUUCGAAACGAUGUUGAGGACUCAAUGAUGAUGAUGCAGAAGACUCUAACACUGAUAGAUAGCCAGCAGAUGGGAGGGGAGGCGGGCAUGGAUGAUGCUGAUUAUUGCGCGACAACACUGCAUAAGAGUAGAUGUGCAUCAGCUGACCCUAGCGACACUGAGACUGCAGCUGCUCGUGAUGAUGCUAUAUCAGAUCUAUCUGGAAUGAAAGACAGACAGAAGGGCGUGCCUACACAUUAUGAAGGUACAUUAAAAUGUGCAAAAUCCUGGGUUUGCCCACCCUUCUUCGAAGAUGGCCUCUUCUUGGACAAUGUGCCAGUGAAGCCAGGCUGUAUGAAGUGCUACAUGACUGAAGUAAAGCCUGGAUUCAAUGAAUUUGCCCUGAAGAAUGUCCUAGGAGACUUCGAUGAGCAAAGGACCUUGGGAGAAACACUGCUACAUCACAUCCAGUGGCCACGAAAGGAAAUAGAGUUCAUCGAUGAGAUUCCUGAAGCCCCGCCAAGAGCAACCACUGUCGCCCCUCAACCGGUGACGCUCUCCUUGCUAGAGCAGCUCUUGCGGGCUGAUGCAUCAACCUCCCAGGAGUCCGUCACUGUAGCACCACCAGCGCUCAGCUCCGGCAUAGAUAAACGGUCUGCUAAGAAGUCCGUCCAAGCUUCACCGUCUACUUGGCAGUCCACCGUGCAGGCAACCAGGCGUUCUGCCAGAAAUGCUUCAAGUACCAAGAUGGAAGUGGCCAAAAAGGAUACACCCACGACCACGAGGAAGCGCAGCGGGAAAGUGAAGAGGAAAGAGAACGAUUGCCUCUUACUUAAAGCAUUCAUCGCCCAGAACCAAAUUAACAGCAGCUUGUUCGAAUCGGGGAGUAAUAUUAUUUCUGACGCCAUGGAUGAUGAACAAGUAGAAUUGUUGCUUGCUAAAAGAAAAGCAGGCGUACUUGAAGCACGCAAUUACGUCCAUGGCCAGCCAUUUCUUGUUGGCGAAUACUUUGAUGAGUGCAGCUCCAGUUGCCAGAUCAUUUCUGACACGAUGCUGGUUCCAUCAUUGGGAUUGAAUGUGCAGAGAAGACAAAGCGAGAGUGUGUAUUUCAUAGAUCCUGCAUUAGCAAAUGGCACAACAUUACAUGAAAAGGACCGACGGGACUGGGCCGUUAACACGGUCGUCCAUAUCUUCGAAAACACGUCCCAUGCAGAAUCAUUUCUCUGGCCAUAUCAUGAAGGACACAUGAUCUCCAUCUGCAAAUCUGCUGAUAGUUGUGACGAUCCUCGCGAAUUAGUACCACUCAACUUAAAACUGAGGACCCCUGAACCGCUCCCGGCUAAUGAAUUGCUGAUGGUUCGGAGAUUUAUCAGCAACUUCUUCCUGGAUCACUACAUCAAUCCCACUGGUGAUAAUGAAGAUUUCAGCAUGCCUUCUCCUAAAAUAUUGAGAUGGUGUGGUGGCGGCAUCCUCGUGGUGGACAUGUGCCCUCGGGCCGGCGUCUUCCCCAACAUCGGUGCAGAGCUUGGGAGCAAUGGGUUCAUGUUAGGAUAUGAGAGAUGGACUAGCCACGGGGAGUCUGAUGCACCUGAAAAUGUAGAGCAUGAUAACGUGGGGGGUGGAGAUAGAAUGAAUGACAUGCUAGUUGAUGCAAUUGUUGCUGAAGGAGUUUCUAAAGCAAGGCUGUACAUUUUGACUAACUCUGUUGUUGAUAGAUUUCGUGAAACAUUUGAAGAUGAAAAGUAUGCAAGUCAUCCAAACUUGACAUCGGAGGGCCUUGAUGAAAUGAUGGCAUCCGAAUUUGUGGAAUGGUUCGAGAUUGCUGAAGGUGGUCAGCUGGGUAGUUUUUCUGUAGAUGGUGGAAAAUUUGUUGAUGAAUCUACUGAGCCAAGAAAGGAGUCAGAUGAUGUGGAGCUUGAUCCCUCUGAAAUUUAUGUAAUCAAAAAUCAAGGCAAUAAUUAUGAGGGAGAAGAAUCUUCAGAAGAUGAAUUGGACGAGAGUACUGAUGAGGAAGAAGAAGAUUUACCUGAAGAGGAAGGACAAGAAGAGACAUAUGAGACCGAAGAUGAGGAUGAUGCAAUAGAGCAUGACUCCGGUCUCAGACUAGAGGAAAUUGACCGACCGCUUAUAGUUCCCGUUGGCAUGGCAUGGGAAAGGCAGCCAUACAGCGCUUGUGAUCCAUCGACAGUGCUAGGUGCCUUAGUGCGCCAGAUGUAUCCACCGCCAAUUGGUCCAAAAAAUGAUCAGAAACUGUGGCGAUUCAAGUGCGACCCAUCGGAGCAAGAGAAGGCAGAUGGUCUUUUGGAGGAGAACUUAACUAGGAAAGUGAAGCAGAUGCUACAUGAGGAAAAGGCGGCAGCCAUCAAAAGAUUAAAGAAGAAGGGACAAUUGCCUAUAGAACUAACAGAAGAGGAUGAGGAUGGUAACCGCUGGCCAACUAAGGAAGCUUUAAUUUCUGCAAAGAGAGUUGACUUUGGUACAGACGUUGGUUGGCGUCUACUAUGUGAGCACUCGAGUAGUACGGAAUUUCGAGGGUUAUCUUUAACCAACAAGAGGAACAGACUUGCUAAUGGGAACACGGUCUUCCAUUGCAGUGGUGCUAGAAAUGUUGUUGCCACGCGUCAAUUUCUGAAACUUAAAACCGGGAAAGACCCUGGAAUUUCUGGUGCUUGGCUUCACACGCACAAAUUGCAUCGAGGGACUGAUGAAGAGCAGAUAUGCAGUCAAAGAACUGCUGAUCAUUGGGAGGAUUUUGAUAAGGCAAUGAAAAAUGCCCAUGGAGAAAAUUGGGAAGAGGAGCACCCGGAUUUAGAUGGACAGAUCAUCUAUGAAGCAGCAGGCAGAAUGCCACAUGGCAGGCUGGGAAUUGCUAAUGAGUUUUUUAGCAAAGCAGAGAAGGCGAAGUUUAAGUCUAAAAGGUCUUUGGCUGAGAAACGGGAAGUCGACUUUGAUGGCAUAAUGCAAUCAGCAGCAGAUGACUUGGGAAUGGGAAGCAGGACUGGAGGCAGUACGAGUCAUGGAAAUGAUGAUGAGGAUGACUACUAUGGCAAUAGGGGAUAUGAUAACUAUGGCGAGGGUGAUCUGUAUGGUGAUGAGCACUAUGAUCACUAUGGCCAUGGGGAAUAUGAUGACUAUGGAGAUGAGGAUGACUAUGGCUAUGCCGGUGGCGAUGGCGAUGAUGAUGAUUGGCUAUAA